GACGAACGCUGGCGGCGUGCUUAACACAUGCAAGUCGAACGAAGUGGCGCACGGGUGAGUAACGCGUAAUUAACCUGCCCUUCAGCGGGGUACAACAGUUGGAAACGACUGCUAAUACCGCAUACUGAAGGAGGGGAUUGCGUCUGAUUAGCUAGGUGGAGGGGUAACGGCCUACCAAGGCGAUGCUCAGUAGCCGGGCGGGGAUGAUGUACGGACACAUGGGGAGUGAGACACGGCCCAGACUCCUACGGGAGGCAGCAGUGGGGAAGCUUCCGCAAUGGACGAAAGUCUGACGGAGCAACGCCGCGUGAGUGAGGACGGCCUUCGGGUUGUAAAGGUCUGUUAAUCGGGACGCGGUACCGGAAUAGAAAGCCACGGCUAACUACGGGCCAGCAGCCGCGGUAAUAC
This 408-nucleotide ribosomal RNA is filed under the name uncultured bacterium. RNAcentral's name for it is "partial 16S ribosomal RNA". It matches the Rfam family "Bacterial small subunit ribosomal RNA", at positions 28 to 526 of the family's 1533-position model. The record is from RNAcentral.